GUAACAAGGUCUCCGUUGGUGAACCAGCGGAGGGAUCAUUACAGAGUUGCAAAACUCCCUAAACCAUUGUGAACGUUACCUAUACCGUUGCUUCGGCGGGCGGCCCCGGGGUUUACCCCCCGGGCGCCCCUGGGCCCCACCGCGGGCGCCCGCCGGAGGUCACCAAACUCUUGAUAAUUUAUGGCCUCUCUGAGUCUUCUGUACUGAAUAAGUCAAAACUUUCAACAACGGAUCUCUUGGUUCUGGCAUCGAUGAAGAACGCAGCGAAAUGCGAUAAGUAAUGUGAAUUGCAGAAUUCAGUGAAUCAUCGAAUCUUUGAACGCACAUUGCGCCCGCCAGCAUUCUGGCGGGCAUGCCUGUUCGAGCGUCAUUUCAACCAUCAAGCCCCCGGGCUUGUGUUGGGGACCUGCGGCUGCCGCAGGCCCUGAAAAGCAGUGGCGGGCUCGCUGUCGCACCGAGCGUAGUAGCAUACAUCUCGCUCUGGUCGCGCCGCGGGUUCCGGCCGUUAAACCACCUUUUAACCCAAGGUUGACCUCGGAUCAGGUAGGAAGACCCGCUGAACUUAAGCAUAUCAAUAA
RNAcentral lists this unclassified non-coding RNA (578 nucleotides) under Chaetomium anastomosans. Its description in RNAcentral is "sequence contains 18S rRNA gene, ITS1, 5.8S rRNA gene, ITS2, 28S rRNA gene". The stretch from base 217 to 370 matches the Rfam family "5.8S ribosomal RNA". Lineage: Eukaryota; Fungi; Ascomycota; Sordariomycetes; Sordariales; Chaetomiaceae. The record is from RNAcentral.